AUGAGUGAUCAUAAUUGUGUUGUGUUCAAUUGGAAUGUGAGGGGACUGAAUAACCCCGCACGUCGCCAAGUUGUUCGUGAUUUGGUUGUUCGCAACCGCGCCUCCAUUGUCUGUCUCCAAGAGACCAAACUGGACUCCGUGGAUAAAAGGCUAAUUUUGGAGCUCCUUGGCCCCUUGUUCACUGAUGCCUUCUGCUUCCUCCCCGCGGACGGAACCAGGGGAGGAAUUAUCUUGGCUUUCAGUUCU
This 246-nucleotide ribosomal RNA is filed under the name Triticum aestivum (bread wheat). RNAcentral describes it as "partial small subunit ribosomal RNA". The record is from RNAcentral. Lineage: Eukaryota; Viridiplantae; Streptophyta; Magnoliopsida; Poales; Poaceae.